This 253-nucleotide ribosomal RNA is filed under the name uncultured bacterium. RNAcentral's name for it is "partial 16S ribosomal RNA". It matches the Rfam family "Bacterial small subunit ribosomal RNA", at positions 524 to 776 of the family's 1533-position model. The record is from RNAcentral.
GACAGAGGAUGCAAGCGUUAUCCGGAAUGAUUGGGAGUAAAGCGUCUGUAGGUGGAUUUUUAAGUCUGCCGUCAAAUCCCAGGGCUUAACCCUGGACAGGCGGUGGAAACUACCAAGCUGGAGUACGGUAGGGGCAGGGGGAAUUUCCGGUGGAGCGGUGAAAUGCGUAGAGAUCGGGAGGAAGGCCGGUGGCGAAGGCGGCGCUCUGGAACAUUUCUGACGCUGAGGCUCGAAAGCGUGGGGAGCAAACAGG